This 795-nucleotide ribosomal RNA is filed under the name Microsporum canis. Its description in RNAcentral is "eukaryotic LSU rRNA". The stretch from base 300 to 453 matches the Rfam family "5.8S ribosomal RNA". Lineage: Eukaryota; Fungi; Ascomycota; Eurotiomycetes; Onygenales; Arthrodermataceae. The record is from RNAcentral.
CAAGGGGGAGACUUAGGGCUACACAGUAGGUGACCUGCGACUCUUCUGUCUCCCCCCCGGGCCUCCCGGGGAGGUUGCGGGUGAAAGGGGUGCCUCCGGCCGCACGCCCAUUCUUGUCUACUGACCCGGUUGCCUCGGCGGGCCGCGCCUGCUGUGCUACAGCGGCCGUUCGGGGGGGACGCCUGAGGGGGACUCUUGUUUCCUAGGCCACGCCCCGGGCAGCGCUCGCCGGAGGAUUACUCUGGAAAACACACUCUUGAAAGAACAUACCGUCUGAGCGAGCAACGCAAAUCAGUUAAAACUUUCAACAACGGAUCUCUUGGUUCCGGCAUCGAUGAAGAACGCAGCGAAAUGCGAUAAGUAAUGUGAAUUGCAGAAUUCCGUGAAUCAUCGAAUCUUUGAACGCACAUUGCGCCCCCUGGCAUUCCGGGGGGCAUGCCUGUUCGAGCGUCAUUUCAACCCCUCAAGCCCGGCUUGUGUGAUGGACGACCGUCCCCCCUCCCCAGUAACCACCCACCGCUUAGGGGGGUGGGAGGGAGGGGGACGCGCCCGAAAAGCAGUGGUCAGGCCGCGAUUCCGGCUCCUGGGCGAAUGGGACAUACCACCGCCUCCAGGACCGGCCGGCAGGCUGGCCUAACGCACCAUGUAUUAUUCAGGUUGACCUCGGAUCAGUAGGGAUACCCGCUGAACUUAAGCAUAUCAAUAAGCGGAAGGAAAGUACUCCCGCUUAUUGAAAAUCCCCCAAGGUCCCAUACGAAAGCGCUCCACGCUUAUGUAUAUGGACCAAAGCUAAUU